Molecule: long non-coding RNA, 832 nt
Organism: Fundulus heteroclitus (mummichog)
Lineage: Eukaryota; Metazoa; Chordata; Actinopteri; Cyprinodontiformes; Fundulidae
Exons: 2
Source: RefSeq, a predicted model, not a curated record
CUCCCACCCGUCUGGUUGAUGGCUCCCCUGCAUACACCGUUAAGAAGAUCCUGAAGUCCCGUAUAUGGGGUCGGGGUACCCAGUACCUCAUCGACUGGGAGGGUUACGGGCCUGAAGAACGCCAGUGGGUUCCCUCCCGCCACAUUUUGGAUAAAUCUUUAAUCAGCGACUUCCACAGGGCCCAUCCGGACCAGCCCAGGGCGCCUGGAAUUCGCCCUUGAGGGGGGGGGCUCUGUAACGUUCCUGGCACUGGGGCUGUUAAUUGCCGACACCUGUUCCGGCUCCACCUCACCAGUAUAAAGGUUCCGUGCCUCUCAGCCUCCAGUGCCAGAACGUCUCGAGCCAACCCGGUGAGAACUUCCAGCACUCUGAAUUAACCUGUCUGUCAGUCUGAAGCCCGACCUGUUUUUGCCCUGUUUUCUGAGCCAGCUCUGCCCUUUUCGGAUCCUGUUUGCCCGCCCUGAGUUCUGCCUGUCAGUCUCUGGAUUUGGAUUGCUCACCCGUGUACCGACCUUAUCAGCCUGUGAGUACCUGAGAUUGCCUGUCCCCCUAAACUGUCUGUCCUUUGGAUUCUGACGCGGACCUGGACCUGGAAACCCCUUUCGGAUUUGCCCUUGGAAACCUCUGCCUAGUCAAUCGCCCUCACGAUAUCGGACCCGGACUGGACUCGGACAAACGACCUUGGAUAAUCCCGCACGGACUCUGCCGCCCUCAGGGGCCAGAAGAAACACCGACAAGCCCACCCUCCACCAGGAGCUGCCAGCCGCCGAGCGUGAGCCGCACGCAGCAAGGGCCGUGCAACCCCUUCUUUUAAUAAAAUAUCAAAGCGUCA